CCUACGGGUGGCAGCAGUGGGGGAUAUUGCACAAUGGGGGGAACCCUGAUGCAGCGACGCCGCGUGGGUGAAGGAGCGCUUCGGCGUGUAAAGCCCUAUCGGCAGGGAAGAAGAUGACGGUACCUGACUAAGAAGCCCCGGCUAACUACGUGCCAGCAGCCGCGGUAAUACGUAGGGGGCAAGCGUUAUCCGGAUUUACUGGGUGUACAGGGGGCGUAGACGGCGAUGCAAGCCAGGAGUGAAAGCCCGGGGCCCAACCCCGGGACUGCACUUGUAACUGCAAGGCUGGAGUACGGGAGGGGCAGGCGGAAUGCCUAGUGUAGCGGGGAAAUGCGUAGAGAUUAGGAGGAACACCGGUGGCGAAGGCGGCCUGCUGGACUGUGACUGACGUUGAGGCCCGAAGGCGUGGGGAGCAAACAGGAUUAGAUACCCUAGUAGUC
RNAcentral lists this ribosomal RNA (440 nucleotides) under uncultured bacterium. Its description in RNAcentral is "partial 16S ribosomal RNA". It matches the Rfam family "Bacterial small subunit ribosomal RNA", at positions 338 to 795 of the family's 1533-position model. The record is from RNAcentral.